RNAcentral lists this ribosomal RNA (254 nucleotides) under uncultured bacterium. RNAcentral describes it as "partial 16S ribosomal RNA". It matches the Rfam family "Bacterial small subunit ribosomal RNA", at positions 524 to 776 of the family's 1533-position model. The record is from RNAcentral.
GACGAACCGUACGAACGUUAUUCGGAAUCACUGGGCUUAAAGGGUGCGUAGGCGGCGCGACAAGUUGGGUGUGAAAUCCCUCGGCUCAACCGAGGAACUGCGCCCAAAACUGUCGUGCUCGAGGGAGACAGAGGUGAGCGGAACUUAGGGUGGAGCGGUGAAAUGCGUUGAUAUCCUAAGGAACACCGGUGGCGAAAGCGGCUCACUGGGUCUCUUCGUGACGCUGAGGCACGAAAGCUAGGGUAGCGAACGGG